This 512-nucleotide ribosomal RNA is filed under the name uncultured bacterium. RNAcentral describes it as "partial 16S ribosomal RNA". It matches the Rfam family "Bacterial small subunit ribosomal RNA", at positions 28 to 523 of the family's 1533-position model. The record is from RNAcentral.
GAUGAACGCUGGCGGCAUGCCUAAUACAUGCAAGUCGAGCGAAUCUUUUGGGACUUGUCCCUUGAGAUUAGCGGCGGACGGGUGAGUAACACGUGGGUAACCUGCCUGUGAGACUGGGAUAACUUCGGGAAACCGGAGCUAAUACCGGAUACUUUCUUUUCUCGCAUGAGGAAAGAUGGAAAGAUGGUUUCGGCUAUCACUUACAGAUGGACCCGCGGCGCAUUAGCUAGUUGGUGAGGUAACGGCUCACCAAGGCGACGAUGCGUAGCCGACCUGAGAGGGUGAUCGGCCACACUGGGACUGAGACACGGCCCAGACUCCUACGGGAGGCAGCAGUAGGGAAUCUUCCGCAAUGGACGAAGGUCUGACGGAGCAACGCCGCGUGAGCGAAGAAGGCCUUCGGGUCGUAAAGCUCUGUUGUUAGGGAAGAACAAGUAUCGGAGUAACUGCCGGUACCUUGACGGUACCUAACCAGAAAGCCACGGCUAACUACGUGCCAGCCGCCGCGGUAA